UUCUUGACAAUGUUCAACAUCCCCUGAAAUGCCUUAUUGGACACACCAUUUUUUGCCUUCCAUUGCACAAAUUCUAGUGUUGUACCUAGUUUUUAUGGCCCUGCUGGCAAUCUGGGUACAACAAUUUUUGGUGAUCAUCUAUCAUGCUUUGCAACUCGUAGCACCUAACCAAGGUCAUCAGUAGGGCUAUUUUCUGCAAACUCAUCUUCAUCAACCUCGCCCAUUGUAGUAUCUGCAAAAGCUUGGCCUGCAACCCAGUCCGGAAUGCUGUCAUCUUCCUCCUCCUCCUCG
RNAcentral lists this long non-coding RNA (291 nucleotides) under Setaria viridis. RNAcentral describes it as "long non-coding RNA (SVIR_LNC007215)". The record is from RNAcentral. Lineage: Eukaryota; Viridiplantae; Streptophyta; Magnoliopsida; Poales; Poaceae.